Gigantopelta aegis is the source of this 309-nucleotide long non-coding RNA. RefSeq lists it as uncharacterized. The transcript is spliced from 3 exons. NCBI's taxonomy places the organism in Eukaryota, Metazoa, Mollusca, Gastropoda, Neomphalida, Peltospiridae. The record is from RefSeq and is a predicted model, not a curated record.
AGUACAAUGCCGCAGAUUUGGACAACGUAGACGUUCGAUCCUGACUCUGGGGUGCUGACAUAGUCCUGUCUGGCACUAUCAGUGAAAUGUAUGACAUGUUCCUGGCGAUCUAUGACGAGAAAAUGAAACAGCUGUCUAACUACUACAUCCUCCUGGCCAACACUGGCGUCCCUCAAUACACUGCGGGAUUAAACUCGCUCCAGACAACCAUCCAAGUAUCUGGAGUAAAUUCUGAAACUAGUUCAUGCACCUCUGCCACGACCUGGACACCUCCUACCCCGGGAACCUACUCAAGAAUAUUUAUCCCAC